Molecule: ribosomal RNA, 554 nt
Filed under: [Candida] sp. Levazot13
Lineage: Eukaryota; Fungi; Ascomycota; Saccharomycetes; Saccharomycetales
Description: SSU rRNA
Rfam family: Eukaryotic small subunit ribosomal RNA
Source: RNAcentral
AUCGUAAUGAUAAUAGGGACGGUCGGGGGCAUCAGUAUUCAGUCGUCAGAGGUGAAAUUCUUGGAUUGACUGAAGACUAACUACUGCGCAAGCAUUUGCCAAGGACGUUUUCAUUAAUCAAGAACGAAAGUUAGGGGAUCGAAGAUGAUCAGAUACCGUCGUAGUCUUAACCAUAAACUAUGCCGACUAGGGAUCGGGUGGUGCUACUUUGCCCACUCGGCACCUUACGAGAAAUCAAAGUUUUUGGGUUCUGGGGGGAGUAUGGUCGCAAGGCUGAAACUUAAAGGAAUUGACGGAAGGGCACCACCAGGAGUGGAGCCUGCGGCUUAAUUUGACUCAACACGGGGAAACUCACCAGGUCCAGACGUAAUAAGGAUUGACAAGUUAGAGACUUCUCUUGAUCUUACGGGUGGUGGUGCAUGGCCGUUUUUAGUCCUUGGAGUGAUUUGUCUGCUUAAUUGCGAUAACGGACGAGACCUUAACCUGCUAAAUAGGGCUGCGAGCAUCUGCUCGGGUGCUCUUCUUAGAGGGACUAUGGGUAUCAAACCCAUGGA